Molecule: ribosomal RNA, 650 nt
Filed under: Vibrio sp. UST991130-025
Lineage: Bacteria; Pseudomonadati; Pseudomonadota; Gammaproteobacteria; Vibrionales; Vibrionaceae
Description: bacterial SSU rRNA
Rfam family: Bacterial small subunit ribosomal RNA
Source: RNAcentral
GGGCGCAGCCUGAUGCAGCCUGCCGCGUGUAUGAAGAAGGCCUUCGGGUUGUAAAGUACUUUCAGCAGUGAGGAAGGUGGNUGUGUUAAUAGCANUCUNAUUUGACGUUAGCUGCAGAAGAAGCACCGGCUAACUCCGUGCCAGCAGCCGCGGUAAUACGGAGGGUGCGAGCGUUAAUCGGAAUUACUGGGCGUAAAGCGCAUGCAGGUGGAUGAUUAAGUCAGAUGUGAAAGCCCGGGGCUCAACCUCGGAAUAGCAUUUGAAACUGGUCAUCUAGAGUACUGUAGAGGGGGGUAGAAUUUCAGGUGUAGCGGUGAAAUGCGUAGAGAUCUGAAGGAAUACCGGUGGCGAAGGCGGCCCCCUGGACAGAUACUGACACUCAGAUGCGAAAGCGUGGGGAGCAAACAGGAUUAGAUACCCUGGUAGUCCACGCCGUAAACGAUGUCUACUUGGAGGUUGUGGCCUUGAGCCGUGGCUUUCGGAGGCUAACGCGUUAAGUAGACCGCCUGGGGAGUACGGUCGCAAGAUUAAAACUCAAAUGAAUUGACGGGGGCCCGCACAAGCGGUGGAGCAUGUGGUUUAAUUCGAUGCAACGCGAAGAACCUUACCUACUCUUGACAUCCAUAGAACUUUCCAGAGAGGAUUGGUGC